This is an unclassified non-coding RNA of Vespa mandarinia (Asian giant hornet), 1208 nucleotides long. The record is from RefSeq and is a predicted model, not a curated record. NCBI's taxonomy places the organism in Eukaryota, Metazoa, Arthropoda, Insecta, Hymenoptera, Vespidae.
AUUGAAAUCGUUCAAAUUGACAGGUUGAUCGGAAUCAUCGGCGUUCUCAUAAUUAAAGAUCUUAAGAUAUUUUACGUUCUGGUAGAGUUUUAGAAGAAAGAAAUGAUGUAUUUUUCUUAUUCAUCCCACAUCAUUCUCGAACUUACGAAUCGUCGUAGAAUCAGCAAAAACUCAAAAUAUCAUUGCAAUCAUACGCAAAGCAAUAAAACAAUUGAGUUUUUCAAAUGAGAAACGUAGUGUAUUAGAGUCGGUGUCGUUCGUUAAGAAUAAUUUUUACGCGUCUUAUGAUUUUUGUAAAGUUUUAGAAAUAUGUAUAUUAAUAUAGACUGCGUACAAAGCAAUCAAAAAAUCAGUGUUUAUUCGUCCAAAGUUUAAUUUUCUUUUUUUUAACAAUUACACAGACUGAGUAUUGUAAAUGAAAAAUAAUAUUUCGCGAAUUAAAUUCAGUGUCGUCUCGUAAUUAAUAAAUAUUUAUUGUGUAUUUGAGUCAGUGCAUCAUCGAUUAUGAUAAUACAUUUUUCUACACGAGACUAUCGUCCUUUUUCAAGUCAUCAUUACAAGUCUAUAAUGAUUUCAACCAAGUUUGAAAUUGUCUUACCUCUAUUACAACCUACAAGGGAGGAGGAGUGUUUUGGAGCCAUCGCAGAACUUCACAAGUAUAUCCACGGUAACUCGAUUAGCGGCACGUUCCACGCGGGAUUCAACAAGUAUCGAAAUCCCGAAAUUCUAUUCGUUGCUCGUUCAUCGCCAGAAACUUCGGCUGGACCGAUCUAUGACGGUUAAUAUCGUACCAGUACGGAGAAAAGAGAAUAAGACAAGAAGAAGAAGAAGAAGAUGAUGAUGAUGAUGAUGAUGAUGAUAAUGAUGAAGAAGAAGAAGAAAAAGAAGAAGGAAAAGGGAGAAAAAGAAGAAGAGAAAAUAGAUGAGGAAUAUGAGAUCCCGACAUGGCCGUUUCGCUCGAUGGAAGCUCUGCUUAAAACCACGUUAAUCCGAUUAAUGUCUACCAGGAGUCAUACUAUUAAAGCCGAUCUCUGCAUGAUAAGAUAAAGCCAGUAUAUACGUGGUAUAUGUUUAUAUAUAUAUAUAUAUAUAUAUAUAUAUAUAUAUAUAUAUAUAUAUAUUACAUAUAAUAUAUUAUAUAUAUAUAAUAUAUUAUACAUAAUCUAUAUAUAUAUAUAUAUAUGGGCUUAAUGCUAUGGAAAUGUUUA